This is a non-coding RNA of Schizosaccharomyces pombe (fission yeast), 736 nucleotides long. NCBI's taxonomy places the organism in Eukaryota, Fungi, Ascomycota, Schizosaccharomycetes, Schizosaccharomycetales, Schizosaccharomycetaceae. The record is from the annotation of a GenBank genome assembly.
UUAAUCUCGUUAAGAAUGUUUUGGAUGUUCAAUUGAUGACUGAUUGACGAACACUCGACCACUCGCCUUCAAUGUAGGAGCGAAAUAACUUUCUUAAGUAGAUGCGGCCAUAUUUAUAAAUAACUACACCCAAACCAAUCUGUGUGAAAUUUUAGCAAUGAAUAUUUACGGAAUUUUUCCUUUGCGACUUUUUCUAUACCCCUCUCUCUGUACCCCGAUGACCCUUUUCUCAAAUGUUCCCCGUUUUUGCAAGUUUUUCUUUUUUUAGAGAAACAUUUUGAAUUCGAAUUUAAAAAAUCGUUGUCACCUAUGUGGAAGACCCCGCGAUAACAUAAAACCUCUUCGCAAAUUCUAAUUUCGGCUAGGGAAUAAUCUCUAUCUCGGGAACAUGGAGGUAAGGAUCCACUUUUGCAUUCUGUGCUGGUUCCUAAGAAUAUCGAGGUCGAGCGAAGAAGAAAAUUUCGAUAUAUGGAAUAACGAGACCGAGUAUGCUAAAGAAAGAGAAGAAAAGAAGGCUGAUUACAGGAGUAGUGUAGAGGAUGUAGCAAGCGCAAUUUUAAUUGCAAUUAAGAAGCUAGUGAAACAAGAGAUUAAGAUUUAAUUUGUGGAGAUGACAGGAGAGAAAUGAAAAAGUGCGACUAUGAAGAAUGAUGAGUAAGUGAGUGGAAGUGUAGUAGAGAUGGGGUUGUGGUAGCGAGAAAGGCGGUGUUUAGAAGGAUGUAGUAGUAGUUCAUGC